GAAAUGCGAUAAGUAAUGUGAAUUGCAGAAUUCAGUGAAUCAUCGAAUCUUUGAACGCACCUUGCGCUCCUUGGUAUUCCUUGGAGCAUGCCUGUUUGAGUAUCAUGAAAUCUUCAAAGUAAAUCUUUUGUUAACUCAAUUGGUUUCUACUUUGGUAUUGGAGGUCUUUGCAGCUUCACACCUGCUCCUCUUUGUUCAUUAGCUGGAUCUCAGUGUUAUGCUUGGUUCCACUCGGCGUGAUAAGUUAUCUAUCGCUGAGGACACUGUAAAAGGUGGCCAAGGUAAAUGCAGAUGAACUGCUUCUAAUAGUCCAUUGACUUGGACAAUACUUUUAUGAUCUGAUCUCAAAUCAGGUAGGACUACCUGCUGAACUUAAGC
This 378-nucleotide unclassified non-coding RNA is filed under the name plant metagenome. RNAcentral describes it as "partial contains 5.8S ribosomal RNA, internal transcribed spacer 2, and large subunit ribosomal RNA". The stretch from base 1 to 105 matches the Rfam family "5.8S ribosomal RNA", at positions 50 to 154 of the family's 154-position model. The record is from RNAcentral.